AUGAAACACUCCUACGGGAGGCAGCAGUGGGGAAUAUUGCACAAUGGGGGAAACCCUGAUGCAGCAACGCCGCGUGAGUGAAGGAGUAUUUCGGUAUGUAAAGCUCUAUCAGCAGGGAAGAAAAUGACGGUACCUGACUAAGAAGCCCCGGCUAACUACGUGCCAGCAGCCGCGGUAAUACGUAGGGGGCAAGCGUUAUCCGGAUUUACUGGGUGUAAAGGGAGCGUAGACGGCGAGACAAGUCUGAAGUGAAAGCCCGGGGCUCAACCCCGGGACUGCUUUGGAAACUGCCUUGCUAGAGUGCUGGAGAGGUAAGUGGAAUUCCUAGUGUAGCGGUGAAAUGCGUAGAUAUUAGGAGGAACACCAGUGGCGAAGGCGGCUUACUGGACGGUAACUGACGUUGAGGCUCGAAAGCGUGGGGAGCAAACAGGAUUAGAAACCCGAGUAGUCCGAAGUUC
Molecule: ribosomal RNA, 458 nt
Filed under: uncultured bacterium
Lineage: Bacteria
Description: bacterial SSU rRNA
Rfam family: Bacterial small subunit ribosomal RNA
Source: RNAcentral